UAAGUUAAGAACCUCCGCUC
This 20-nucleotide microRNA is filed under the name Drosophila pseudoobscura pseudoobscura. Its description in RNAcentral is "mir-964-RB". Lineage: Eukaryota; Metazoa; Arthropoda; Insecta; Diptera; Drosophilidae. The record is from RNAcentral.